CCCUGCACCUGGCUGAGCCCUUUGCAGAGACAAGUGGCAAGCAUGAGAAGUCAGAAAGCAUCCAGGCUCAUCUCAGCAGCUUUGGUGUUUUUAUCUAAGCAAGAAACUCAUCCAGCCUAACUUCCUCCACACCUUCUAUUUCUAAGGGCUUGGUUUCUACCAUCGCUUUCCUGCCUGCUCGGGAGAUUUUCCAGAACAGAGCACACAGCAUUUCCACUGCUCAGCCAUGCUCCUGUUUCUCAUCUCAAUACUGGGGAUUGCAUUUACCCUGAGAGAUGCCAGAGCGCAGUCAGUGACCCAACCUGAUGGCCAUGUCUUGGUUUCUGAAGCAGCCUCACUGGAGCUGAGGUGCACCUAUUCUUAUGGUGCAACUCCUUACCUCUUCUGGUACAUCCAGUACCCAAACCAAGGUCUCCAGCUUCUCCUCAGGUACUUUUCAGGGGACACCCUGGUUGAAGGCAUUAAAGGCUUUAAGGCUGAAUUGAAGAAGAAUGAGUCUUCCUUCAACCUCAGGAAAUCCUCAGCCCAUUGGAGCGACUCAGCUGAGUACUUCUGUGCUGUGAGUGACACAGUGCCUGGGUCUACAGGGGGAGCUGAACACAAACCACUCAUGGGAGUGGAGUUUUGAGAGACUCAAGAUCGC
This is a non-coding RNA of Equus caballus (horse), 643 nucleotides long. The record is from the annotation of a RefSeq genome assembly. NCBI's taxonomy places the organism in Eukaryota, Metazoa, Chordata, Mammalia, Perissodactyla, Equidae.